Molecule: transfer RNA, 63 nt
Filed under: Trichonephila inaurata madagascariensis
Lineage: Eukaryota; Metazoa; Arthropoda; Arachnida; Araneae; Nephilidae
Description: tRNA-Arg
Rfam family: tRNA
About the family: Transfer RNA (tRNA) molecules are approximately 80 nucleotides in length. Their secondary structure includes four short double-helical elements and three loops (D, anti-codon, and T loops).
Source: RNAcentral
GUAGCAUAAUGAAUAGAGCGUUGGACUUCUAAUCCAAAGGUCGUAGGAUCAAAUCACACCUCA